Molecule: non-coding RNA, 136 nt
Organism: Hordeum vulgare subsp. vulgare (domesticated barley)
Lineage: Eukaryota; Viridiplantae; Streptophyta; Magnoliopsida; Poales; Poaceae
Source: Rfam
UUUAUACUCCCUCCACCUUAAAAUUCUUGUCUUAGAUUUGUAUAAAUAAGAAUGUAUCUAGUCAAGUUUUAGUAUUUAGAUACAUUAAUUUUUAAACAAAGUUAUGACAAGAAUUUUGAGACGAAGGGAGUAUGUG